UCCUGCAUAUUGUUGGCUUAGCCCAAAUG
Molecule: non-coding RNA, 29 nt
Filed under: Rattus norvegicus (Norway rat)
Lineage: Eukaryota; Metazoa; Chordata; Mammalia; Rodentia; Muridae
Source: RNAcentral